CCAUGCUUGCCGGGGAGUUAGCGGUGCCCUGUUGCCUGCAAUCCGCUACAGCAGGGGUCAAAUGCCGGCAGAGGUCUUUUGUCUGUGUGGCUGCGUCCGGGCAAGGCUGUUGAGAAAUGGGUCUUGUGCGAUUGCCGCCCGUGAACCAUGUCAGGUGAGGAAUCAAGCAGCAUUAAGCGGAAACGGCAAUGUGCCGCAAGGCAGCCUGUUUUGAGGCCGAACCCGGACUACCGCGCGUAGGCGAAGAACAAUGCCGGACGCAUGG
Molecule: signal recognition particle RNA, 265 nt
Filed under: Clostridiales bacterium
Lineage: Bacteria; Bacillati; Bacillota; Clostridia; Eubacteriales
Description: signal recognition particle sRNA large type
Rfam family: Bacterial large signal recognition particle RNA
About the family: The signal recognition particle (SRP) is a universally conserved ribonucleoprotein involved in the co-translational targeting of proteins to membranes. Archaeal SRP consists of a 7S RNA and homologues of the eukaryotic SRP19 and SRP54 proteins.
Source: RNAcentral